Molecule: ribosomal RNA, 253 nt
Filed under: uncultured bacterium
Lineage: Bacteria
Description: partial 16S ribosomal RNA
Rfam family: Bacterial small subunit ribosomal RNA
Source: RNAcentral
UACGGAAGGGGCAAGCGUUGUUCGGAAUCACUGGGCGUAAAGCGCACGUAGGCGGAUGUGUCAGUCAGGGGUGAAAUCCCGGAGCUCAACUUCGGAACUGCCUUUGAUACAGCACGUCUUGAGUCCGAUAGAGGUGGGUGGAAUUCCUAGUGUAGAGGUGAAAUUCGUAGAUAUUAGGAAGAACACCGGUGGCGAAGGCGGCCCACUGGAUCGGUACUGACGCUGAGGUGCGAAAGCGUGGGGAGCAAACAGG